GGGCAUAGCUCAGUGGUAGAGCGUGUGCUUAGCAUGCAUGAGGUCCUGGGUUCAAUCCCCAGUAUGGCCA
This 70-nucleotide transfer RNA is filed under the name Camelus bactrianus (Bactrian camel). It matches the Rfam family "tRNA". From Rfam's summary of the family: Transfer RNA (tRNA) molecules are approximately 80 nucleotides in length. Their secondary structure includes four short double-helical elements and three loops (D, anti-codon, and T loops). The record is from Rfam by way of RNAcentral. RNAcentral also lists the same sequence under 2 other names. Lineage: Eukaryota; Metazoa; Chordata; Mammalia; Artiodactyla; Camelidae.